UACGAAGGGGGCUAGCGUUGUUCGGAAUUACUGGGCGUAAAGCGCACGUAGGCGGACUGGAAAGUUGGGGGUGAAAGCCCAGGGCUCAACCCUGGAACUGCCUUCAAAACUCCCAGUCUUGAGGUCGAGAGAGGUGAGUGGAAUUCCGAGUGUAGAGGUGAAAUUCGUAGAUAUUCGGAGGAACACCAGUGGCGAAGGCGGCUCACUGGCUCGAUACUGACGCUGAGGUGCGAAAGCGUGGGGAGCAAACAGG
RNAcentral lists this ribosomal RNA (253 nucleotides) under uncultured bacterium. RNAcentral describes it as "partial 16S ribosomal RNA". It matches the Rfam family "Bacterial small subunit ribosomal RNA", at positions 524 to 776 of the family's 1533-position model. The record is from RNAcentral.